GCUCGUGCUGAAGGCCUGUUUCCUAGGCUACAAACGGGGGACAUAGUUCCUUAAUCUUAACGCCUAGGGGAAAGUCCCCGGACCUUGGGCAGAGAGUGCCGCGUGCGCGCGCACGCACGCCGACCUUCCGCCUCUCACUGUAUACCCGCUAAGAAGUGAAUCCAUCGUCUCCGGUGGGCAGCUGAGCGGCGUGAUAGCGGGAGCGUCAUCCGUCAGCAACGCUAGUUACGCAGGCAGUGCGCCGCCGUGUGCACCAACCAAACGGGGCUCAUUCUCAGCGCGGC
Molecule: RNase MRP RNA, 284 nt
Filed under: Procavia capensis (Cape rock hyrax)
Lineage: Eukaryota; Metazoa; Chordata; Mammalia; Hyracoidea; Procaviidae
Description: RNase MRP (ENSPCAG00000018922.1)
Rfam family: RNase MRP
About the family: RNase MRP is an enzymatically active ribonucleoprotein with two distinct roles in eukaryotes. In mitochondria it plays a direct role in the initiation of mitochondrial DNA replication.
Source: RNAcentral